UCUCCUUCCUCCCUCCAGAUUGAGAGAGAUCGUCGCCGCCACCUCCCUCCAGCGGAGCUCGCCGCCGUCCAUGGCCUUCCCCAUGCCCUCCUGCUCCGCCCGCUCUUCCUCCGCCGGUUCCUCCUCCCUCCACGCCUCCCGUGGGCCGUUGUCCAUUUCCCAAACCAGACCGCCUCCCCGGUUCAUUCCUUACUCCCCUCCGACCCACCCGCCUCGGCACCACCACCUAACUCGCUGACGACCUUACGCAUCACCGCCGGCCUCCGCUCCCUCCCCUCCCACACGCCCGACGCCCCACCCUCUCCAACUCCCCUUCUCCCCCUACCCCCAGUAGCACCCAGAUCUAGCACGCCGGCCUGUACCUCGCCGGAGGCGCACACGCGGAGUGAGGAGGGCUGCCCGCGUGCACACGCCAUGGACCUCCGUCACGGGACGCCGAAGCGUCUCGUCUGCCCGGCCGCGUCACCAGACGGCUGCCUACCUGCUCCCUGCCGACGCCAUCCCGUGCUCGGGACGCCGCGCUACCACGCCCUGACGUCCCUCCUCCCUCUCCCCUGCGUUCGCCCCAUCGUCCGUCCCCGAGGUACCCUGCCCGACCGCCCCCAGUCAGUUCUCUUCUCCGUGGCCGGAUCAGCGCAAUGCGUUCCUGGCAUUUUUUCUGUCUGUCUCUGUGGUUGGGCAGAUGGAGAGGGUGCUCAAGGGUUCAGCAACCUUACUGUCAGAUCCGGCGACCUCACUGCCAGGUCCGCCAUGCGCAAUCGCCAGGUAAGUGCAGCCCACGAUGAGUACGGGUGCCGGCGCGAGGCGACCCCUCACCUCACAGCGGUACCGAAGCUGCACAGCCUCCACAAAAAAAUGUCGGACGCUUUGGAUUGGAGGCAGAGCAGCUUGGUUACCAAGGUCAAAAGGACAAGGGCAGCUGCGCUGAGUGCGCACAGCGGCAGAUACACAAGGUUUACUGCAUUUCAGGCGGACAAUUUUAUUUCGAUCACAAUGGCCACAAAAGCUUCUUCAAAACACCACUCCCCACUCUUGCUGCUGCUCCCCGUGCUCACCUCCACAGCUUCCCGCAUCUUCGUGCGUACGCGCCCCUGGCUGUCCCACCCUGGAUGAUAUCGAUGUUGCAAGUGCUAGCAGCUCUAUGCUAUGCCACUACCGCCCAGCCACUGGCUGAACACGCCCUACUCAAGUAAUCAAGCUCACACACUGACGCACAGACAACUUAGAUAUUGAAGAGGACAACUGGGUCAGGAUGCUGCGGCUGGGCUUCUAGUGCAUGGGGAUCCUCAACGCCGACCUCGGGACAUUGCUGCUCUACGUCUUCUCCAACACCUUCAAGUACGACGUCGGGCACGAGGACGACGUGUCGGGUGUCCUCUUCCUCAUCAUCUACAGCUUCCUGCUCUUCGCCAUGGUCAAUAUCAUCUUCAUCGCGCUCUUAUAUUUAGGAACGGAGGGCAUGGAGGAUCCGCUGGAAACAAGCUUCGGAUGUCGAUGGGUCUGCCGGUGGCAGCCACUGUCAAUUGUGCUGACAAAAUUGGUGCCAAGAACUUGUACAUCAUCGCCGUCAAGGGAAUCAAGGGGCGCCUGAACAGGCUUCCUUCUGCCUGUGUUGGUGACAUGGUUAUGGCCAUUGUCAAGAAGGGAAAGUCUGACUGGAGGAAGAAGCUCAUGCCUGUUGUCAUUGUCAGGCAGCACAAGCGAUGGCGUCGAAAGGACGGUGUCUUCAUGUACUUUGAAGGUGAAUGGAGCUUGUGUUGUUGGUAGAACUCCAUUGAUGACUUCUUCCUAUGUUGAAGAGCAUGUUCCGUGUUAUCCAAGAGUAGCUAGCUUUACAUUGGCAGGGAGUUUGUUAUCCAAGAGUAGCUAGCUUUACAUUGGCAGAGAGUUUUAUUUGUCGAUCGCAAUAUUUGUGAUUGUGUGGAAUAUUGUAUGGUUAUCUACGUGAAGUUUGAAGUUCCUAGGCAUGCAAUAUUUGACGGUUAAACUAGUGGUUGUGAUGUGAACGAGUGUAUGGAGUUUCACAUGUUUUGUUCUGUACAGAAUAUAUUAUAAUAAACUUA
Triticum dicoccoides is the source of this 2063-nucleotide long non-coding RNA. RefSeq lists it as uncharacterized. The record is from RefSeq and is a predicted model, not a curated record. The transcript is spliced from 5 exons. Lineage: Eukaryota; Viridiplantae; Streptophyta; Magnoliopsida; Poales; Poaceae.